AGUAGUUUGAUCCUGGCUCGAGGACGAACGCUGGCGGCGUGCUUAACACAUGCAAGUCGAACGGGCACUUCGGUGCUAGUGGCGAACGGGUGAGUAAAGCGCAGGUAAUCUGCCGCAAAGUCGGGGACAACGUCCCGAAAGGGACGCUAAUACCGGAUGUUGUGCGGAGUUCGCAUGGAUUCUGUACUAAAGAUUUAUCGCUUUGCGAGGAGCCUGCGUCCGAUUAGGUAGUUGGUGUGAUAAAAGCGCACCAAGCCGACGAUCGGUAGCCGGUCUGAGAGGAUGAACGGCCACAAUGGAACUGAGACACGGUCCAUACUCC
Molecule: ribosomal RNA, 322 nt
Filed under: uncultured Veillonellaceae bacterium
Lineage: Bacteria; Bacillati; Bacillota; Negativicutes; Veillonellales; Veillonellaceae
Description: bacterial SSU rRNA
Rfam family: Bacterial small subunit ribosomal RNA
Source: RNAcentral